GACGAACGCUGGCGGCGUGCUUAACACAUGCAAGUCGAACGGGUCUGCCCUGUUUUUUGCGGGGUGGGUCAGUGGCGAACGGGUGAGUAACACGUGAGUAACCUGCCCCUCACUUCUGGAUAACCGCUUGAAAGGGUGGCUAAUACGGGGUGUUCUGGCUGUGCCGCAUGGUGUGGCUGGGAAAGAUUCACUUUUGUGGUGUUUUGGUGGGGGAUGGGCUCGCGGCCUAUCAGCUUGUUGGUGGGGUGAUGGCCUGCCAAGGCUUUGACGGGUGGCCGGCCUGAGAGGGUGGGCGGUCACACUGGGACUGCGAUACGGCCCAGACUCCUGCGGGAGGCAGCAGUGGGGGGUAUUGCACACUGGGCGGAAGCCUGAUGCAGCGGCGUCGCGUGAGGGAUGGAGGCCUUCGGGUUGUGAACCUCUUUCGCCGGUGAAGAAGGUCCUGCUCUUUGUGGUGGGGUUGACGGUAGCCGGGUUAUGAAGCGCCGGCUAACUACGUG
This 500-nucleotide ribosomal RNA is filed under the name uncultured bacterium. RNAcentral describes it as "partial 16S ribosomal RNA". It matches the Rfam family "Bacterial small subunit ribosomal RNA", at positions 28 to 507 of the family's 1533-position model. The record is from RNAcentral.